Molecule: ribosomal RNA, 464 nt
Filed under: uncultured bacterium
Lineage: Bacteria
Description: bacterial SSU rRNA
Rfam family: Bacterial small subunit ribosomal RNA
Source: RNAcentral
GGACCCGCACAAGCGGUGGAUUAUGUGGAUUAAUUCGAUGCAACGCGAAAAACCUUACCUACCCUUGACAUGUCCUGGAGCCUGGUGAAAGCCGGGUGUGCCCGAAAGGGAACGGGAACACAGGUGCUGCAUGGCUGUCGUCAGCUCGUGUCGUGAGAUGUUGGGUUAAGUCCCGCAACGAGCGCAACCCUUGCCAUUAGUUGCUACCGAAAGGAGCACUCUAAUGGGACUGCCGGUGACAAACCGGAGGAAGGUGGGGAUGACGUCAAGUCCUCAUGGCCCUUAUGGGUAGGGCUUCACACGUAAUACAAUGGCGCGUACAGAGGGCAGCGAAGGGGCGACCUGGAGCCAAUCCCGACAAAGCGCGUCGUAGUCCGGAUUGCAGUCUGCAACUCGACUGCAUGAAGUCGGAAUCGCUAGUAAUCGCGGAUCAGCAUGUCGCGGUGAAUACGUUCCCGGGUCUU